This 253-nucleotide ribosomal RNA is filed under the name uncultured bacterium. Its description in RNAcentral is "partial 16S ribosomal RNA". It matches the Rfam family "Bacterial small subunit ribosomal RNA", at positions 524 to 776 of the family's 1533-position model. The record is from RNAcentral.
UACGUAGGGUGCAAGCGUUGUCCGGAAUUAUUGGGCGUAAAGAGCUCGUAGGCGGUUUGUCGCGUCUGCUGUGAAAACCCGAGGCUCAACCUCGGGCCUGCAGUGGGUACGGGCAGACUAGAGUGCGGUAGGGGAGAUUGGAAUUCCUGGUGUAGCGGUGGAAUGCGCAGAUAUCAGGAGGAACACCAGUGGCGAAAGCGGCUUCCUGGUCCAGCACCGACGUUCAGGCACGAAAGCGUGGGGAGCAAACAGG